GACAAAUAUUUGGAAAAGAUCUUUAGAAAUUGAUAGAUUCCAAUGCGUUGAGGUUCUUUUAGGUCAGAUAAGUGUUUCUUGGCUUUUUGCCAUUUGUAAGCAUAUGUGUGUGUGUGUGUGUGUGUGUGUGUGUGUGUGUGUAUUUAUACCCAUGCCCCUUAUUUAGAGCUCUAAAUCUCCUAAGGACGGGAACCAUCUUAGCCACCUGCAACUGAUGUGAUAGCCACAUUCACAUAUAUGGAUAUGUGGAUAUAUUAUAUAAAUGUACAGAUAUAUAUGUGUGUGUUUAUAUAAAUAGAAAAGAUAAGGAAGUCCAUCAAAAUGUUUUGAUAGUUAUUACCUUUAGAAGGUAGGACCAUGGCAUGUUU
RNAcentral lists this long non-coding RNA (368 nucleotides) under Homo sapiens (human). RNAcentral's name for it is "non-protein coding lnc-MANSC4-7:1". The record is from RNAcentral. Lineage: Eukaryota; Metazoa; Chordata; Mammalia; Primates; Hominidae.